UUUCCGUAGGUGAACCUGCGGAAGGAUCAUUAUCGUAACAACCGAGGCGCGAGGGCUGUCGCUGAUCUGAACCCUCAGGUCGUGCACGCUCGAGCGUCCUCGUACAUCCAUCUCACCCCAAUGUGCACCACCGCGUGGGUCUCCCUUUGGCUUGUUCGAAGGGGGGCUUACGUUUUCACACAAACUUUUAUGCAGUGUAGAAUGUACCUUUGUUUUGCGAUCACGCAAUUAAUACAACUUUCAACAACGGAUCUCUUGGCUCUC
RNAcentral lists this unclassified non-coding RNA (264 nucleotides) under root metagenome. RNAcentral describes it as "partial contains small subunit ribosomal RNA, internal transcribed spacer 1, and 5.8S ribosomal RNA". The record is from RNAcentral.